AAGAAUGAGACCAUGGUUAAUAAAUGAGAGCCUUGUCUAAGCAACACUGAAAAGGCAGGCAAGAAAUACUACACACUUUUCUCUGUGGACGUUAAAGCAAUGCCACUAACAUCAUUUUGGAUAGAAUUCUCACUCCUGCUGUUUAGAAAGCAAAUGAGCAAAUGGUAUAAUUUCUUUCCCCGAUAUGAUUCAUCAGCGGUUGAUUCCUAAAACUGCAUGCUUCAAACAGCAAGCACGCAUAAGAUCCUGGAGUAGUCCCCCGAUUUCCAAUGCAGGAGUUGUUUGGUGGCAGAGCCCUGCAAGUGUCCAACAGCAAGCAUUCCAUGGAGCCGUGCACUGGCGUGGGGUGCCAGCAUCUGAUAAAGAAAACGAAGAUACUCUAACGAAGCAGGAAAAGUUCCUGGAUGAGGCAGAUCCAUCUCAAGGCUUUGGAUAAAAGGCUGAAGCAGGAGCAACUGGAUACCAGAACAUUAUAUAUGUGUGUGUGUAUAUAUAUAUAUAUAUAUAUAUAUAUAUAUAUAUAUAUAUAUAUAUAUAUAUACAUAUACAUAUAUAUAUAUACUUGCAUUAAUCCUUUUGCUUUUUCCUUACCCUUUUCUUCCCAUGUCACUGAAGUGGAAUAUCCCAUGUGCCACUGAACUCAGAGAACUCCACACCGGAAUGGGGGUGAGACUGGUGUUGUACCUCUGGCAUAGGAUAAGGAUGGCAGGCACGUAAUAUUACGAAAUGUAGGACAAAUUCAAGCGAAAGAGAGGGAGAGGGAGAGAGAGGGGGAGAGGGAGAGCUAGAGACAGAUGGCGGAUCUGGCCAGGAGCCAAAGCCAGUGAAAUGAAUUACAUUGCUGAAUAACUGUACACCAUUGAUUCUGCCACUUGUUGCUGCAUGGCAAAAAAAAAAAAAAAAAAAGCCCCAGUGUAUGUAUGCUGGAAUCUCUCUAUUUGUCAUGUGUGUAGCAGACAACUUUCACACACAGCUCAAUCCUGACAUGAUAUGCUCUGGGUGUCUUGGGUGGGGGUGUAGGUGUGGGAGAAGGUUGCAUGUACGUAUGUGUGCUCAAGAAAACAAAUGUGUGUGUGCACAUAGGCAAGUGGGAGAGAGGAAAAACAAUCUUUGCAAUCCAGCCAUUUUUGUUUAAUGAAGAAUGGAAGACUGGCAUUCAGAGAUGUGGUUACGUGUCGCAUAUUAAUGUGUGCUCACCAGACAUCCUCCCCCACUUUAAAAAUGAGUGGCACCCAGGGAAGCCCGCAUAGAUCAACCAUGUGGGAGAAGCAACUCCUAGGGAAACAGAUCAUCUCUAAACCUACAAAUGGGGCACAAGGAAUUCCUUAGAAGAACACAUUGCUCUCUGACAAGAAGAAAAGCUGGUCCCUGGGAUACUACGAUGUUUGGGUGUUUUCGAAAAGACAGCCAGUCUCAGCAGAUUGUUCAAUAAAUGCUUCAUACCCAGGAUGAAGGGAGACA
RNAcentral lists this long non-coding RNA (1461 nucleotides) under Sus scrofa (pig). RNAcentral describes it as "lncRNA (ENSSSCG00050028709.1)". The record is from RNAcentral. Lineage: Eukaryota; Metazoa; Chordata; Mammalia; Artiodactyla; Suidae.